Molecule: ribosomal RNA, 506 nt
Filed under: uncultured bacterium
Lineage: Bacteria
Description: partial 16S ribosomal RNA
Rfam family: Bacterial small subunit ribosomal RNA
Source: RNAcentral
AGUGAACGCUGGCGGUAGGCCUAACACAUGCAAGUCGAACGGCAGCACAGGAGAGCUUGCUCUCUGGGUGGCGAGUGGCGGACGGGUGAGGAAUACAUCGGAAUCUACUCUGUCGUGGGGGAUAACGUAGGGAAACUUACGCUAAUACCGCAUACGACCUACGGGUGAAAGCAGGGGACCUUCGGGCCUUGCGCGAUUGAAUGAGCCGAUGUCGGAUUAGCUAGUUGGCGGGGUAAAGGCCCACCAAGGCGACGAUCCGUAGCUGGUCUGAGAGGAGGAUCAGCCACACUGGAACUGAGCCACGGUCCAGACUCCUACGGGAGGCAGCAGUGGGGAAUAUUGGACAAUGGGCGCAAGCCUGAUCCAGCCAUACCGCGUGGGUGAAGAAGGCCUUCGGGUUGUAAAGCCCUUUUGUUGGGAAAGAAAUCCAGCUGGCUAAUACCCGGUUGGGAUGACGGUACCCAAAGAAUAAGCACCGGCUAACUUCGUGCCAGCAGCCGCAGUAA